UACGUAGGGUGCAAGCGUUAAUCGGAAUUACUGGGCGUAAAGCGUGCGCAGGCGGUGAUGUAAGACAGAUGUGAAAUCCCCGGGCUCAACCUGGGAACUGCAUUUGUGACUGCAUCGCUAGAGUACGGCAGAGGGGGAUGGAAUUCCGCGUGUAGCAGUGAAAUGCGUAGGUAUGCGGAGGAACACCGAUGGCGAAGGCAAUCCCCUGGGCCUGUACUGACGCUCAUGCACGAAAGCGUGGGGAGCAAACAGG
RNAcentral lists this ribosomal RNA (253 nucleotides) under uncultured bacterium. RNAcentral's name for it is "partial 16S ribosomal RNA". It matches the Rfam family "Bacterial small subunit ribosomal RNA", at positions 524 to 776 of the family's 1533-position model. The record is from RNAcentral.